UACGUAGGGGGCUAGCGUUGUCCGGAUUUAUUGGGCGUAAAGAGCGUGUAGGCGGCCAGGUAGGUCUGCUGUGAAAACUCGAGGCUCAACCUCGAGACGUCGGCGGAAACCAUCUGGCUAGAGUCCGGAAGAGGAGAGUGGAAUUCCUGGUGUAGCGGUGGAAUGCGUAGAGAUCCGGAAGAACACCGGUGGCGAAGGCGGCCUGCUGGGACAAUGCUGACGCUGAGGCGCGACAGCGUGGGGAGCAAACAGG
This 253-nucleotide ribosomal RNA is filed under the name uncultured bacterium. Its description in RNAcentral is "partial 16S ribosomal RNA". It matches the Rfam family "Bacterial small subunit ribosomal RNA", at positions 524 to 776 of the family's 1533-position model. The record is from RNAcentral.